GUUGUAUUAAGAAAUAACACUAAUGGAUGUAAUGUAAGAAAAAAUCAAAACAGGCUUAUACCGUUUCUGUGGAAGACGCCACGUUUUAUGUCAGUUCUAAGCUAUUGUUUUUCUUCUCCAUUUAAGGUCAGUGGCAUAGAUAGAGUGGGAUCUGGAGUGAAGAAGACUCAAACUUGCCUCAGAUACUUAUUAGCUGUGGGACUCUGGACAAAUGAUUUCACGUCUGCCUCUAUUUCCUCAUCUGUAAAAAUGGAGAUGCUAUAGCACUCACCUCACAGGUAUGAGAGAAGGGGGAUGCUGAGAGCUCUUCACGCUGACAGGAGAGGUAAGCGCUCUGAUGAUAUUCAAGCCACACAGACUUUUAUUAUUUCUGUGAUACAGAGACAGCAAGACAGGGCGUGCAGACAGGCGAUUGGUGCUGCCAGCUGCCAAAUAUGCAUUUUGAAGAUAAGCUAAUUUCAAGGAAUGAGGCAAGUUUUAAUGAUCAGAGCAAGGUGAGGAGUCCAAACCAGCUUGGCCAGUCGGAGAGAGAAUAUGUGAAAGAACGAGAGUCAGGACUGGCUGAAUACAAAGACCAGAAGGCAAAGCCAGGUAAGGCAGCCAAAGUUCGGCUAAGGAGAAGGCCAGUAUCGUAGAAGAAUGGAAGAAGGGCAAACAGAAGAGCAAAGAGAUUCAGAGGAUCACAGAGAGCUGGCAUACUAGCUAAUAGAUGUAAAGCCCUGGCUAGGCUUCAAGGACUAUUUUCUGUGAGCUGAUACUUGUUGCUUCCACCAGGGAACUCUGUGCUUCCAGGGAAGUAGAUGGAACAAACAUGGCAGCUUCAAUGGGAGGAAUAAACAGUGCUCUUCCCAACCUUUCCAAUUCAACAAGUUUUUAUUAAGCACAUGCUAUAGCUGUCGUUCUCCAAGGGCCAUGAUGUCAGGGAGGUGAUGCCAUAACGUCCGACUGAAUUGGAUUUAAGUGAGGGAGGGCUGCACGGAGUCACCAGUUCAAUCGUGUGCCCCAGAUAAGUAAAUAGAAAAUUCAAAGAAAAUAAAUACAAAGUAAUUUUGAGUGGUGGGGACCGCCAUCUAUGAGACCAAGACCUUAUUUAAGCUAUGGACAGUGAGCCAGGAAUCAUGAAGACUGGGCAAACACGUCCCAAUCGGGGAUCCUGUGCUCUGCUCUUCUGACAUUAAGUUCGAGGUGCUUUCCCUUCCUCCCUCUGCCUGGAUAUCGAUAACUGUGCACCGGCUGGAAUAGGUAAUUGUGGGGGGGGGGAGGGGGGGCUGAAAAGUAGGAAGCCUGAGUUCUCGCCCUAGCUCCAGCACUUCCCAACUACACAAGGCAGGGCAAACUGAUUAAUCUUUCCAGACCUCAGUCUCCUAAUCUGUAAAAUGACAAUGAAUAAUAAUACUCAUUCUUUAUUUGUGUCUGACUUUAAGAAUGACAUGGUUCUUUCCUAAAAUAAUUGGAGGGAUCGCAGAGUGCUCAUUAAAUGGAAGCUUUCCCUCCACGACUCCAGACCAACAGGUCCAGCAGGCUCUCCCCCUGCCAGACCUCAUAAGGUCACAUUCUUAGGAAUAAAAAGGAAGAACUGAAGCCCAGAAAACCGGGGGAAUGGCCCAACUCACAGAGGGACAGAAAUCCCCGCCAGGUCCCUUGCCUCUCGACUCAGCACACUUGCCAGUCCCCCCCCCCCAACCCCGAUUCCCAGCAUUGCUGAUCCUCCCCUUUAUAGACUGCAUUAAAGUUUCCUAAGUUGUAAAAAAAAAAAAAAA
Sarcophilus harrisii (Tasmanian devil) is the source of this 1760-nucleotide long non-coding RNA. RefSeq lists it as uncharacterized. The record is from RefSeq and is a predicted model, not a curated record. The transcript has 2 exons. NCBI's taxonomy places the organism in Eukaryota, Metazoa, Chordata, Mammalia, Dasyuromorphia, Dasyuridae.